UAAGGAAUCUUCCACAAUGGGCGAAAGCCUGAUGGAGCAACGCCGCGUGCAGGAUGAAGGCCCUCGGGUCGUAAACUGCUUUUAUAAGUGAGGAAUAUGACGGUAACUUAUGAAUAAGGAUCGGCUAACUCCGUGCCAGCAGCCGCGGUCAUACGGAGGAUCCAAGCGUUAUUCGGAGUGACUGGGCGUAAAGAGUUGCGUAGGGGGUUUGUUAAGCGAAUAGUGAAAUCUUGUGGCUCAACCAUAAGGCUAUUAUUCGAACUGGCAGACUUGAGAAUAUGAGAGGUAGAUGGAAUUUCUAGUGUAGGAGUGAAAUCCGUAGAUAUUAGAAGGAACACCAAUGGCGUAGGCAGUCUACUGGCAUAUUUCUGACCCUGAGGCACGAAAGCGUGGGGAGCGAACCGG
This 405-nucleotide ribosomal RNA is filed under the name uncultured bacterium. Its description in RNAcentral is "bacterial SSU rRNA". It matches the Rfam family "Bacterial small subunit ribosomal RNA", at positions 355 to 776 of the family's 1533-position model. The record is from RNAcentral.